Molecule: ribosomal RNA, 450 nt
Filed under: uncultured bacterium
Lineage: Bacteria
Description: partial 16S ribosomal RNA
Rfam family: Bacterial small subunit ribosomal RNA
Source: RNAcentral
GUGGGGAAUCUUCCACAAUGGACGAAAGUCUGAUGGAGCAACGCCGCGUGAGUGAAGAAGGGUUUCGGCUCGUAAAGCUCUGUUGUCGGGGACGAAUGUGCAGUAUUUGAAUAAAGUACUGUAAUGACGGUACCUGACGAGGAAGCCACGGCUAACUACGUGCCAGCAGCCGCGGUAAUACGUAGGUGGCAAGCGUUGUCCGGAAUUAUUGGGCGUAAAGGGAGCGCAGGCGGGAAGGUAAGUCGGUCUUAAAAGUGCGGGGCUCAACCCCGUGAUGGGAUCGAAACUAUCUUUCUUGAGUGCAGGAGAGGAAAGUGGAAUUCCUAGUGUAGCGGUGAAAUGCGUAGAUAUGGGGAGGAACACCAGUGGCGAAGGCGGCUUUCUGGACGGUGUCUGACACUGAGGCGCGAAAGCCAGGGGAGCGAACGGGAUUAGAAACCCCUGUAGUCC